AUAAAGUAUAUCAAGAAAAGUAUUGGUUAUUGAUAAUGUUUGCGUAUAAAAAAUUUUCUAAAAUUUUUAUAUCGUAGAAUUUGAUAUUGUUAUAAUCGAAAAUUCAAGUUAAAAACUCGUACGUUAAUUAACUAAAUACUUUUAUCGUGCUUUUAUCGCGAGAAUAAUAAAUAAUUGCAAAUUAAUAGCGUAGAAUGGUUACUACAAUUCUAAUUAAAUGAAUGUUUAACGACUUCUACUCGUUCACUCGUAAUAUCAAUUCAAGCCAGAAACUAUGGCUAGCAACUAUCUUAUAUCUAUAUGUUAUAGUGCAAUUCGAUCGUAUCAUUCCACCAGUUAUGAAUCAUUUCUACACAGGAAUCUCAAUUACGAUAUUAACCUACAUAUUAUUUCUUAAUUCUAAUCUAUGUCUCAAUUAAAAUUAAAUGUAGUUUAAUACAUUGUACAUAUUUCAAUUUCUAUCGAGUAAUUGAUCUUUAAUGUUUUUACAAAUUUUUUUCUUUCAAAUUCUGCGAGCGCAUUAAAUUUCGAAUAAACUUUAAUUAUUGUAUAUAUUUAAUUAUUAUUAGGAGAUUGUAUAAAUAGAUGAAUUGUUGCAAUUUCUGCGAAUUCGUCCUGUGAUAUUUCAAUUAAAUAAAACUGUUACCUAAGAGACUAUUUUAAAAUAUACCGCUCAGAACAAUUAAUAUGUCACGUUUCUAGAUAAUUUUGGAGGAUGAACAUCAGAGUACUUGGCAUAAUAGUAAAUUUAUUUUUACCUUUAAUACCAGUCUAAUAUUUCAAUUUCUAAUAUUUAAUUCAUCGCACAAUAGAUUUUUCUUCGCAUAAUCAUCUCUUACAAUUACUCUAUUUAUUCUUGAUCGUUGCAUUUUAACCUAACCUAAAAAAAAAAAAAAAGGAUAAAAAUUAUAUCUAAAAAUUUCACUUCAUCCAAUUACGUCUUUACAUAUUAUUAUUGAUAUAAAACAAUUUUAUUUCCAACUUAAGUCUUCUCAAGUAAACUCUCAUUUAUUGAAUUUCUCGAAAUCUCAUUGAAGUAGAACAUCGUCGAAUGUUUCCACUUUCCAGCCUCCGUCGUUCCGUGGUCGGCAAUGAAAGAAAGACAAGAUCUCGAAAAAGGGAUUAACAAGAACUGGUCUUAAUUACACUUAGGCGACGGUUAAUUUUAGAAAGGCGCGGGCCAAACAAACCGAGAAUGGUGUUGCAUGGCAGUGUGCCCCGGCUUGAUUCGUCACUGGCUGCAACAUAGGCGCCACUGGCCGCGUGUACAUCGGCUGUUAUCGCGGGUAAACACCGGUUGGCUCUAAAACCCUCUCUCGACGUGGUUCCUAUCGCUCGGUCUCGCCUCGGCUGUUCAAUUAAAUGCACCCACACGUGCACCAUAUACGCGUAACGUGCUCGUACACACGGAAGAAAUUCUCCUUGCAAGGUGACCGACUGAUUUUCCUGGUAAUAUCGUGUGUCCGAAGAAACUGACCUCUUUCGUAAGAGCGAGAAGUUUACUGCGUGUUUUACUUACGUUUUCAAAUUGUUAUGAAUACGGUUGCGUAUGAUUGGUAGAUGUUUGAACUUUUUUUUUUUCUUCAUCUUUAUUCCUUUCAGUCUUUUGAAUAUCGAGAUUAAAAUUACACGUUAGUUUUUUUGAAAACGAUCGUUUCAAAUUUCCGAGAUUUAUUGCGAUUUAUCUUCUAAUCUGCGAUGUUUAUUAUGGAUUUACUUUUUAAUCUCUUUCAGAUUGAAAUUGUUAUAUGUUAAAUAUUCGUUUGUAUCUAUAAAAAUACAAAAAAUUGUAAUAUAUGGGAUGUGAAUCGAAGAAUUAUUUCUAAAAAUUAAUAUUAGUAUCCAUAUAUAUUAAAUAUUUUCAAAACUUGACAUCUCAUCGAAUUCAAAAUAAAAAAAAAUCUCGACUAUCACUCGAAUCGUACAAUAUUAAAUCAAGAAACUCAUUUUAUCAUAUCGAGUCACGAGCGAUAGAAUUCCAAGUUCCACGAAUUUUUCACGAUAAUAUAUCAAAAAGCUCAACUCUGGACGCCAUGUUAUCGCGUCAAGUUUACAGUAAACGAAUCUGAAUUUCAACUAAAAUUUAAACAAAAAAGAUACACCGAAUAGUGUCCAACUUCCAACGACAUCUUAUCGUAUUUGAUUUAAAUUGAGAAAAAAAGAAAAUCUUGAGGAAAAACUCUGGUUCCCAAUAUUGAUGAAAAGUUGGCGAUAAUAGAAGACGGAAUAUCUCCACAGUUUUUGAUACAGCCUGUAUAGAAGCGCAGAGCCGGCAAACAGGCACGUAGAUCGAAAGGCAAACAAUCAGAAGUUUACCGUCGGUGGCCGGCUUUCUCGUGCGCUACGCGUGUCGUUAGGUAUGCGACACGUAUGGUAUACCUACACCGAGGCGCACGGUCGUAGAAAGGCCGUUUGAAGGACAAGGGUCAUGUCUGACGCCGAUAUACAUAUAUAGGCGACACGGCCACUGCCUUUACUGCUUUACCUUUACUACCACGCGACCGACCACAUGUGCAUGCGCCUUUCUGCCUUCCGCCGCACUCUUGUUCCAGCUGCACUGCCAUACGUCACGCUGGAACGGCCCUGCGAGAUCUUUUCACGGAUAUUAAAGAUAAAAAAGGAAAGAAAGAAAGUUUUACUCUUGAUAAUUGGAAUUUAACGAUCGGCUCGUUUGAGAGGAGAAUUAUUUUUCUUGCAAGUUUAAACCGAGGUGAGAGUUACAUUUUUUUGCAGUUUGAUAAGUAUUUGCACAAUGACUAAAGUUUCGAAAAAGUUUCGAAUUUGGACAGACGUUUGAAAAUGUUUAUUACUUCUUAUUUGAUAUUUCGAAUUGUGUGAUUCGCGCUUUAUUUUAAAUUCUCGUUAUCUUUUGAAACUAAAAUUUCUCUUGCCAAUAUAGAUAAUCAGCUACUGUAAAAUAAUCGUUUCAAAUUUACCGCCUUUAAGAUCUCGUACUAGAGAUACGUACUAGGGAUUUUCUAGGAAUAUUAAAAACACCAUUUCUACGAUUAUCAUAAUGGAGAACAACUUUCUUAAUUUCCUCCAAUCACGAAUCUCGAUCCACCUCGCUUAUGAAUUACCUUGAGGAAAAAAAGAAACAGACCGAGGAAACUUAAAAUCCUAACCUCAAGCGCUCAACUUCAAGAGAGAAUUUCGAGCGGAAAGAGAUGCCUCUCGUGUAUUUACGAUACGCGUUAUCGCUUGAAACAACACACCACCACUAUUAAUAACAAUUAUAUAUCAGCAGGCCAGUAAUGCUAUUUUCUUUCGCAUUCUCGCGAUUCUUUCGUUCCUGAUAGCGGCGCGUGCGCCGACUACGCACCGCGAUCGCACGCACCGUGUGCAUCGUGCGUGCGUACACGCGCCUUCUCUAUCGCGGGUGCACCUACAUACGUAACGUGGUUAGCCGGCUUGGCCGUGCCAAGGUUGGGAACCUUAUCUAAGAGCUCAGGGUGUUUGACCCAACUGGGAAAACACAUUGGCACUCGACGCGUUGCACACACUUCUCGUCACAUGGUUUCACGCUCGAUUCUCGCACCGAGUCUCAUUCACGAUCGACCAGGGAAUUACAAGAAAGUACGAAACCAUCUCUUCUCUUUUUCCUUUUCUCUCUUCGUGGUUGUUGUAUUCGUAACGAACGUGUCGAGGACAGAGAGGAUAGGAUGGAGUAGAAUUUAAAAUGAGGAUUCGAGGUACGGGAGUAAAAGCGAAUCUCUAAUGUGUAUGUGUAUCUUUUUGUGUUUGAAAAUAAACGGAGGAGGGAAAAGAGGAUUUUGUGAAAAAUUUAAUUGAUAAUCGUUAAGAAAAAAAGAGAUACCUCGAAAAUGAUGAAAUGUGUGGUUAUAUAUCGUAGAUAUAAAAUUGUAUGCAAUAUGAGAACUUUUAAGUAUUCUCUUUCUUGGGAGACGAACAGUCGAGGUCUGAUCAUAACGGCAUUAUCUACUUAAUUCUUUAAAUCAUCAUGGGGAUUAAUCGUGUAUUUAAAAGAACAUUUUAUUACUAAUUUUAUUUCAAUAAUUUAAAAAUUUAAUGAUUAUUUUGACCGAUUUGAGUAUUUUUUGAUAACAGUAGAUUAUUUUGAUACACGAUACAAAUUUGAUAUAAACGAAUCGAAUUGAAAUGAAAACAAAUUAAAGAUUGCAAUUAAAAUUUUUAUCUCGACGUCCGAUUAGUUUUGAUAUUUUCUACUUGCACUAUCAUUCGCAAGUAUAGGAUAUUCUUUAAACACCAUUCAUAAAUGCCAAUCAAGAAGAAAUAAUAUUUGACUAAUCGCACUAAAUCUAGUGUCGAUAUUAUUCAUUAAUUAAUAAAAUUAUCGAUAUCUCGAAUCAAAUUUAACUUUCUGAAAAAUAAUCGUAAAAAAAAUAUACAAAAUAUGAUACAUUUUUUUUUUUUAUUAAAAGUAAAAAUAUAAAUUUUAAAUUGAAAUUAAAGAAUUGAAGAAAUUUAUUAAAGAGAAAUAAUUUGUUUCUUUAAGUAUUAAAUCUAAAGUAUUUCGAAUGAUAGCAAAUCUAAAAGAGAUAGAAUCAUUGCAAUAGAUUAGGAAGUAUGGCAUCUUUUAAUACGGAUUUAUCGCCAAGGCUGUUUCUGUAGGUCGUGAGAAUUUCGAAAUAUUCCACGAUAAACUCAAUGAUGCACGCUAUCUCAGACACAGCGAUUAGCUUUAUCAGGUGAAAAUAUCAUCUGUAAAUCUGUGAUUUCAUCAGAAGGACGAUGUGGAUACGAUCGAUACAAACAGAUAAUUAUUAAUCGCAGAAAACUCGAGAUCCAAAGAACCUCAGUUUGAUUAGUUUCACCAGACAGUUUUAUGUGCGGUAUAUCGAUUAAAACAGAUGUUUAAAGUUUUCUCGUAUAUUUCGUAAUUGCGAUAAUGACGAACUUUUUAUAUGAACUGUUUACUUUUGCUUCUUUUUGCAACGACGAACUUAACGAUUAAAUAAUGAUUAUUGAAAUCACUGGUAUUAUAUUAACGUAUUGAAAUGCAUCUCUUUCAAUUUUUUUGAAGGAAAAAAUUUUGUUUCGUAGACAAUCGUUAUGUUAAUUUAUCAACAAGAUAUCCAAAAAUUACUAGAACAUAGAUCGAGUCUCUUAUAUUCUAUAUUCAUCAUGUUUAUACUCACUUGUAUCGCGGACAGAGAUACACAUUUGAAAAAUUCAAGAGAUCAUAAUUAAAACGUUGUUUUCGAUUGCCUGACAAUCGUUGAUAUAAAGCGUUGGAAGAUUGCCCAAUUUUAGUCAACGAAUUUUCCGCUGGUAAAGGAAAGAUUCCCCCUCAUCCAUAAGUGUGUAAUCGCGUUCAACUCGACUUCUGGCAAGGAUUUCCUCGUGGAACCAAACUAAUUUCGAUCUCGCCACGUGCUUCCUUCUUUGCGCCCUUCUUCCCCCUUUCCCUUCGCCGCCGGAGAAUUUAUUAGCAGUCGUUAUUUACCCCCUACGAAUCUUCCGCUCGUAUACAAAUGAUUUAUGGCCGGUCGUUUCUGCGAAUUCUCGCGCGAUACGUGCUUUUUAUACCAUUUCAAUUUAUCCCCUCGCGACGACACCCUCGAAUCGGAAGACUCCCGGAUCAGAAGUGGCUCGACUAUAGAAAAUGGUCGGGCGUGGAUCACAUGCUCUUAAUUGCGUUAAAAGCCAUCCAUCAUCCCUACGUUUUCCCCUUUUCUUCGUUUCGCGAAGAAGAUUUAUAUGGCUCCGCCUUACACACGCAGCUUCUUUAGAUAUCGAUGCUUUUCUGCAAUAAUGAAAAUUAUAAAUGGGAUAAUAUUCGUUAAAGACAAAUUGGAGGUUCCUAGAUUUCAACAUCGGAAUUAUUAUACUGGAAAUUUUCACGACAAAGAGUUUUCUAUGGAAAUAAUUGCAAUUAAAAAUAAUCGUACGCAUCCCGAAAAAAUACUUUGCAAUCCGCGUGAGAAUUUCAACUCGGGCAAUUAUGAAUGCAGAUUUUAAAAUCAUAUCGCAAUAAUAUCUCGAGGCACAUUGUUUUUUCCCUUAUUGACGUUUUCACACACUUUGCUGCGAAUAAUUGGUAUGCUAUUGUAGAACAGAUUCUCGGGGUUCCGCGAACGUCCACGAUUUCCUGAACCGUUAGAAAAAUUUUCUGCACCCAUACUGGAGAGGUCUCGGAUCGCUCGAUGGUCGAUUGAUUAUGAAUCGCGCGUUGCGAAUCGUCUGGCAAAUGGCAUCGCGAAAGGAGGCUAGUGUAUUUAGUACUUCGUGAGGCCAUGAAACCGUAAUGUCAUGAAUUUUUUUUCUGUUAAUUCUGUUCAAUUAUUGAAUAAAUUACUAUUUAUAAUUCGUUUCUAAGUAA
Apis cerana (Asiatic honeybee) is the source of this 6304-nucleotide long non-coding RNA. RefSeq lists it as uncharacterized. NCBI's taxonomy places the organism in Eukaryota, Metazoa, Arthropoda, Insecta, Hymenoptera, Apidae. The record is from RefSeq and is a predicted model, not a curated record.